RNAcentral lists this ribosomal RNA (492 nucleotides) under uncultured bacterium. RNAcentral's name for it is "partial 16S ribosomal RNA". It matches the Rfam family "Bacterial small subunit ribosomal RNA", at positions 30 to 507 of the family's 1533-position model. The record is from RNAcentral.
AUUGAACGCUAGCGGGAUGCUUUACACAUGCAAGUCGAACGGCAGCACGAAAAGAGCUUGCUCUUUUUGGUGGCGAGUGGCGAACGGGUGAGUAAUGUAUCGGAACGUACCCAGUAGCGGGGGAUAACUACGCGAAAGCGUGGCUAAUACCGCAUACGCCCUACGGGGGAAAGGGGGGGAUCGCAAGACCUCUCACUAUUGGAGCGGCCGAUAUCGGAUUAGCUAGUUGGUGGGGUAAAGGCUCACCAAGGCAACGAUCCGUAGCUGGUUUGAGAGGACGACCAGCCACACUGGGACGGAGACACGGCCCAGACUCCUACGGGAGGCAGCAGUGGGGAAUUUUGGACAAUGGGGGAAACCCUGAUCCAGCCAUCCCGCGUGUGCGAUGAAGGCCUUCGGGUUGUAAAGCACUUUUGGCAGGGAAGAAACGGCGCUGACUAAUACUUGGCGCAACUGACGGUACCUGAAGAAUAAGCACCGGCUAACUACGUG